RNAcentral lists this small RNA (19 nucleotides) under Arabidopsis thaliana (thale cress). RNAcentral's name for it is "ATSL237190". The record is from RNAcentral. Lineage: Eukaryota; Viridiplantae; Streptophyta; Magnoliopsida; Brassicales; Brassicaceae.
ACAAGCGGAGAGGACGUUU